RNAcentral lists this long non-coding RNA (234 nucleotides) under Carica papaya (papaya). RNAcentral's name for it is "long non-coding RNA (CPAP_LNC001139)". Lineage: Eukaryota; Viridiplantae; Streptophyta; Magnoliopsida; Brassicales; Caricaceae. The record is from RNAcentral.
UAAAUCUUUGAUUAAAAAAAUACCUGAGUAAGAUGGUAUUGAGAUGUAUGUAUAGUAAAAAUUGAUUGUCAUUCCAAAGAUUAACACAAAAAAAUUUAAUCUGCACAUUUAUGUAGAACCUCUUCUUUAAAAUAAAAAUAAUAAAGAUGUUAAUAAAAUCGAAUGCAAGUUGAAAGUUCACAUGAACAUACAACCAUGCAUAUAUGAAACAUUGUUAAAUUAAAAGCAUAAGAA